RNAcentral lists this long non-coding RNA (6323 nucleotides) under Salmo salar (Atlantic salmon). Its description in RNAcentral is "lncRNA (ENSSSAG00000108829.1)". The record is from RNAcentral. Lineage: Eukaryota; Metazoa; Chordata; Actinopteri; Salmoniformes; Salmonidae.
GAAAGUUCCAGCCGUCCUUGUGUUUUCCCAACACUUAGUUUCACUGUGUUAGCCAAGGCCAGUGAGCGUCCUUGUUGAUACGACCUGAGCCCUAGGACCAUGCCUCAGGACUACCUAGCAUGAUGACUCCUUGCUGUCCCCAGUCCACCUGGCCAUGCUGCUGCUCCAGUUCUGCCUGCGGCUAUGGAACACUGACCUGUUCACCGGACGUGCUACCUGUCCCAGACCUGCUGUUUUCAACUCUCUAGAGACAGCAGGAGCGGUAGAGAUGAUCGGCUAUGAUCGGCUAUGAAAAGCCAACUGACAUUUACUCUUGAGGUGCUGACUUGUUGCACCCUCGACAACUACUCUGAUUAUUAUUUGACCAUGCUGGUCAUUUAUGAACAUUUGAACAUCUUGGCCGUGUUCUGUUAUAAUCUCCACCCGGCACAGCCAGAAGAGGACUGGCCACCCCUCAUAGCCUGGUUCCUCUCUAGGUUUCUUCCUAGGUUUUGGCCUUUCUAGGGAGUUUUUCCUAGCCACCGUGCUUCUACACCUGAAUUGCUUGCUGUUUGGGGUUUUAGGCUGGGUUUCUGUACAGUACUUUGAGAUAUCAGCUGAUGUAACAAGGGCUAUAUAAAUACAUUUGAUUUGAUUUAGUGUAGGCUAUAUAACACUGACUAUGUUUACAUGCCUGCCCAAGAUAAUUAGAGUAAGGUGAUUACAUGACUAAUGCCACAUGGUCUAUAGCCAUAAUCAGUUUUAUAUCAAAUUAUUAGUGUGCAUGAGAAAGUUCUGACAAUGGUCCAAAAUCCAAAUGUCAAACGUUACUGUUUAAACUCUUUAUGAAUCUCACUUAAUGGACUCAAUCACCAAUGUUGAUAUCAAUUUAAUUUCUAGUUUAAAAUUGUGUUUUUAAAAUUAAGAAAUGAAACUUUAAACUGACUGAGUUCAAAUGGAAUAGCCCUAAAGAGCCCUGUGUGUGUUGGGCUGACUUCUGACCUUUCAAAGAUGGAGCCCACUCCAGCGGGCACUGCUUUAGCCAAGAGGAUCGAUCCCACCUUUCAUCGUCACAGAGGGAUGCGAGAACGAGGAUAUGAGCAGCUCUUUCCAGCCUGACAGAGAGAUACAGUGACAGUUUAGCCUGGAUUGAAUACUUUAUUGUGACAACUAGAAUUACUCGGUUAUCGAGUGUUGUGUAUAUGGGGGUUCCUGUAUGUGUGCCUGUGUAUGUAUAUAAGUAGGACGAUGUGUGUGUGAGCAUGCAUGAGUACGUGUGCUAUGGCGUGUGAGAUGUGCUGUACCUGGUCAUGGUAAGAUGGUCGUCCAGUGGCAGCUCUGAGAAAUAGGGGAACUUCCUGGCCCACUUCACUAGGGUGAAAAAGCUGCUCAAUAAUCAGCUAUGACAGAGGAACACAGUGACAGGGCAGAUACCCCAGAUGUCUGUCAUAGGGGAUAGGCAAAAAAUAUCUGCAGGACAUGUACAGUUGAAGUCGGAAGUUUACAUACACCUUAGCCAAAUACAUUUAAACUCAGUUUUUCACAAUUACUGACAUUUAAUCCUCGUAAAAAUUCCCUGUCUUAGGUCAGUUAGGAUCACCACUUUAUUUUAAGAAUGUGAAAUGUCAGAAUAAUAGUAGAGUGAUUUAUUUCAGCUUUUAUUUCUUUCAUCACAUUCCCAGUGGGUCAGAAGUUUACAAUUAGUAUUUGGUAGCGUUGCCUUUAAAUUGCUUAACUUGGGUCAAAAGUUUCAGGUAGCCUUCCACAAGCUUCUCACAAUAAGUUGGGAGAAUUUUGGCCCAUUCCUCCUUACAGAGCUGGUGUAAUUGAGUCAGGUUUGUAGGCCUCCUUGCUCGCACACACUUUUUCAGUUCUGCCCACAAAUUUUCUAUAGGAUUGAGGUCAGGGCUUUGUGAUGGCCAAUUCAAUACCUUGACUUUGUUGUCCUUAAGCCAUUUUCCCACAACUUUCGAAGUAUGCUUGUGGUCAUUGUCCAUUUGGAAGACCCAUUUGCGACCAAACUUUAACUUCCUGACUGAUGUCUUGAGAUGUUGCUUCAAUAUAUCCACCUAAUUUUCCUCAUGAUGCCAUCUAUUUUGUGAAGUGCACCAGUCCCUCCUGCAGCAAAGCACCCCCACAACAUGAUGCUGCCACGCCUGGGCUUCACGGUUGGGAUGGUGUUCUUCAGCUUGCAAGCCUCCCAAUUUUUCCUCCAAACAUAACGAUGGUGAUUAUGGCCAAAGAGUUAUAUUUUGUUUCAACAGACCAGAGGGCAUUUCUCCAAAAAGUAUGAUCUUUGUCCCCAUGUGCAGUUGCAAACCGUAGUCUGGCUUUUUUUAUGCCGGUUUUGGAGAAGUGGCUUCUGCCUUGCUGAGCGGCCUUUCAGGUUAUGUCGAUAUAGGACUCGUUUUACUGUGGAUAUAGAUACUUUUGUACCUGUUUCUUCCAGCAUCUUCACAAGGUCCUUUGCUGUUGUUCUGGGAUUGAUUUGCACUUUUCGCACCAAAGUACGUUCAUCUCUAGCAGACAGAACGCGUCUCCUUCCUGAGUGGUAUGAUGGCUGCGUGGUUCCAUGGUGUUUAUACUUGCGUACUAUUGUUUGUACAGAUGAACGUGGUACCUUCAGGCAUUUGGAAAUUGCUCCCAAGGAUGAACCAGACUUGUGGAGGUCUACAAGUCUGUCUUAACUGACUUGCCAAAACUAUAGUUUGUUAACAAGACAUUUGUGGAAUGUUUGAAAAACGAGUUUUAAUCACUCCAACCUAAGUGUAUGUAAACUUCUGACUUCAACUGUAGGCCUAUUUUACUGACAUUUAAAGUUGGAUAGAGAGAAUAAAACAGACACCGAUACAUAUGGUAGACAGAGACAGAGGUUUGUUGGACAUACUAACAGAGUUUCCUGCGCUGCCUGGCCUCCAUGUAGACUUCAGUCUUGGUGUCAAGAGCCAGUUCAGAGCUCAGUAUCUUCUUGGAUGUGGUCCUUGCUAAAACUACUGGUGGACUUCACCUGGCCCUGCUGACACUCCUUCUGCACUGCUGCCAAACACAAUACACAGGGUCCAGGGGUCACACACAUAGUUACCUACUCACACUCAGGAGUAUCUUAUAGCAUGUGACACUGUAGUGUUUUAUUUACCAGGAGUGUCCAAAGAUGGGCUUCCUGAAAAUGACUUCUAGGUGGAGUUCUACACCAAGUCGUGCCUCUUUGUUAAAAAGCAAAAAGACUGUAGGACAUUUUGAGCAAAACAUUUAUAUCAUCAUUGCCCCUAUUUGACUAUCAUUGUAGCCUUGCAGCAAACAUUAUUCAUUGUUGUAAGAAUUCACAGAGAUUAACUAAAAUGACUCAUUUUCUUUUGGAUCAUGACAUAUGCUUGUGAAACUAUUUACAGACUGUGGUUUUUAUUUAAAAAUGUCAUUCUAUAUUUGCAGAACACAUAUUUUGUUUGUGACUUACUACUUAUAUAUUUAAAACAUUUUGAAAGAAAUCUCCAUGCUCGGGAGCUACGAGGUGUGUGUACAUGAAUCCAUGUUGAUAUAAUGGACAAGUAUGAUACUGGUAGAAGAGAGGAAACGAGGGAAGAGGAGGAAUUAGAGAGGAGAUAAAGAGACUCAUUAGCAGAUCAGAGUGGUGCUAAUGACUACACCCCAAACCAUCCGCUGUACCUCUGGGGUUCACACUCCUGACCCAGAUACACACUCUGAGAACAGGGGGCAGUAACAGUUUCCAGUUACCAUCCGGCUGGAUAAAAGCACAGAGAGACGGCAAUUAUAGGAGCUAGGCACAACUGUUGAUUUGGGAGCAUUAACCAAUGUGCAGAUUUACUUUUUUGUUCUACAUUAUUCUCUUGAGCCCAGAACCUGGGUAAAGUUUUGGUAACACUUUAUUUGGAUAGGCCAUCUGUAGAUGCUCUACAGACUAUCAGUAAUAUUUCAAUUAACUAUCUACUAACCCUAACCCUCGCUCUAACCCUAACCCUUAUUCUAAACCUAACCCGUAACCUUAGCAAGCAGUUGCUUAUCAACAUAUGGUCAUACAAUCAACAAACUAUCUGCAGAGAAUCUACAGAUCGAAAAUCAGGACUAUCCAAAUAAAGUGUGACCAUAAAAAAUAAAUACAAAUUUUAUGAGUGAGAGUGUCUAUAUAAUAUAUACGUGUUUUUGACUGGACCUCAACUGGUGUUGGUUGAUGCUCCAAAGCAGAGAGCAUCACCCCCCGGGUGGAAAUCUUAUCAUAGGCUGCAGCUCUCAGAGACUGAACAUAAAUCUGGGCCAGUAAUGGUGUGGCACUAUUCAUAGAUUAUCUACAGUAAACCCAAUCUUAAUAUUAUAUUAGAAUUUGCAGCAGCAGAUUAUACAUUAUCCGUUUUCUGACCUCUUGCUGCUUUGAACUAGGAAAUAGAUUAAAGCCCUAUUCGGACGGAACUAGCAUUAGGCCUACUAUAGAACGUCGGUAAUGUAAUUAUUAUCUCAGCAUGUCCGUUUUUCCAGAGGACGAUUUGGACAGGAUUACUUUGACCAAAUUGACCCCUGUAAUUCUUUUUUUUUUCUCAUUGAAAAUUGACCGUUAUGACAGAAUCCUGGAGGCUGUUCUAGGCGUAAAGAUAUUUCAACUUGUCUGCGGAUAGCCUUAUAUUGGCUUCCAGUUCAGAGAAAGUCAUAAUAAUGCAUUUCAAUAAAGAACAAUGUACUGUAUGCAGACCUGUAUGCAGAACUGUAAUUAUCUGACUUAUUUAGCAAUUUGAUUAAUUGGCACAAUGUCACCUGCUUAAACUUUUUUUUAAAGUAAGAACUGGUAAAGUUGAUGAGGCAGCACCUGUCAAACUCUGUAAAUUCCUUCAAAACACAGGGGGAUAACUUUCUACAAUUCUACACAUUUUGCCAUAGGCCAAAGAUAGUUUUAUAGCUAAUCUCAUGCUAUUCUGCACAUUUUGCCAUGAGGCUGAGAGACAAUUUUGACAAAAUACUGUUUGAUGAGCUAGCUAAGUUAGAUAGCAAGGUAUACCAGUUAUCAAAGAGGAUGUUAGCUAGCUUAGCAUGCAUGGCAAGACCACUAUUGUCAAAGAUGGUAGACCGUCUCAGGUGUUGUGUCAACAUUACAACCAGGAUGGACUGUCCUAUGGGACGCAAAAACGCUGGCACAUACACAGAUGCAGCUCUGAUGCAAUGCAAUGAUCUUUUAUACUCUGUAGUUUAUAGCAGUCAGUACAUAUACAUUCACAUAGCUAUGAGUGAGAAUGUUGUAAACUGUAAAGUAGCUAUACAUAUCUCUCUCAACAUAUAUCUCUACAUUGCAUAUUUAGUCCACAAUUUCUUUGACAUUUGGCUCGUUGUUCUUGCACAGGAAAGAAAUGGAGACAAUUUUCAGGGACCUACCAGAUCACAACAAACAGUGAGAGGGAGAUAAAAAUGAUGGUUAUGUAGAAAUACGACCACUACUAGGUGUCAUCGUAUACCCACAAAUCAAAAUGAUUUCAACACUACACCAGCUUGCUGCACUGGUAUAAAACAUUACGUUUCUGUGGGAGGUGCAGAGCUGUUGGCUGGGAUAAGGGUAGCCAGGUGGAAAGCAUGGUCAGCCGUAGAAAAAUUCUUAUUGAAAUGAUCAAUUAUCGUAGAUUUAUCGGUGGUGACAGUUUCCUAGCCUCAGCGCAGUGGGCAGCUGGGAGGAGGUGCUCUUAUUCUCCAUGGACUUUACGGUGUCCCAAAACUUUGAAAUUGAAAUUAGUGCUACAUGAUACAAAUUUCUGUUUGACAAAGCCAGUCUUAGCUUUCCUAACUGACUGUACUGUAUAUUGGAUCCUGACUCCCCUGAAAAGUUGCAUAUCGCGGGGGCUAUUUGAUGUUAAUGCAGUACGCCACAGGAUGUUUUUGUGCUGGUCAAGGGCAGUCAUGUCUGGUGUGAGCCAAGGGCUAUAUCUGUUCUUAGUUCUACAUUUUUUGAAUGGGGCAUGCUUAUUUAAGAUGGUGAGGAAAGCACUUUUAAAGAGCAACCAGGCAUCCUCUACUGACGGGAUGAGGUCAAUAACUUUCCAGGAUACCCAGGCCAGGUCGUUUAGAAAGGCCUGCUUGCUGAAGUGUUUUAGGGAGCGUUUGACAGUGAUGCGGGGUGGUCGACCGCGGACCCAUUACGGACGCAGGCAAUGAGGCAGUGAUCGCUGAGAUCCUGGUUGAAGACAGCAGAGGUGUAUUUAGAGGGCAAAUUGGUUAAGAUGAUAUCUAUGAGGGUGCCCAUGGUUACGGAUUUAGGGUUGCACCUGGUAGAUUCCUUGAUCAUUUGUGUGAGAUUGAGGGCAUCUAGCUUAGAUUGUAUGAUGGCCGGGGUAUAAUUCAUAUCCCAGUUUAAG